UACGGAGGGGGCUAGCGUUGUUCGGAAUUACUGGGCGUAAAGCGCACGUAGGCGGCUUUGUAAGUUAGAGGUGAAAGCCCGGGGCUCAACUCCGGAAUUGCCUUUAAGACUGCAUCGCUAGAAUUGUGGAGAGGUAAGUGGAAUUCCGAGUGUAGAGGUGAAAUUCGUAGAUAUUGGGAAGAACACCGGUGGCGAAGGCGGCUCACUGGCUCGUAACUGACGCUCAGGCGCGACAGCGUGGGGAGUCGAAACAGG
RNAcentral lists this ribosomal RNA (255 nucleotides) under uncultured bacterium. Its description in RNAcentral is "partial 16S ribosomal RNA". It matches the Rfam family "Bacterial small subunit ribosomal RNA", at positions 524 to 776 of the family's 1533-position model. The record is from RNAcentral.